This is a long non-coding RNA of Penaeus chinensis, 6510 nucleotides long. RefSeq lists it as uncharacterized. The transcript has 2 exons. The record is from RefSeq and is a predicted model, not a curated record. NCBI's taxonomy places the organism in Eukaryota, Metazoa, Arthropoda, Malacostraca, Decapoda, Penaeidae.
AUGAUCAUCAUUAUCAUUAUCAUCGCUAUUAUUUUCACUACCAUUAUUGCUACAAUAAUUAUUUAAACAAAUGGUUGAUAAAAAUCAUAGUAAUAUGAAAGGUUUCGAUAAUGAAAAUGGUAAUAUUGUGAUGUAUUUCGCUGAUAAAAAUGGGAGUACUAUGAAAGGUUUGGGUAAUAAAAAUUGUAUUAUUUAAAGGUAAUAUGAAAGGUUUUGUUGGUAAUAUGAUAGAAUUACUAAAGGUCUUAACAUAUCUAUAUAUUACAGAAGGUUUGAUUUCUGAAAAUGUAACAGUAUGAAAGGUUUCGAUAACGUAAAUGGUAACAAUAUGAAAGGUUUCGAUAACGAGAAUUGUAACAAUAUGAAAGGUUUCGAUAAUGAACAUGGUAACAAUAUGAAAGGUUUCGAUAACGAAAAUGGUAACAGUAUGAAAAGUUUCGAUAAUGAACAUAGUAACAAUAUAAAAGGUUCGUCAAUGAAAUGGUAGUAUUACGAAAUGUCUCGGUAACAAAACCCAUUGUAUUGUGAAAGGUUUGCUUCUUAGAAAUGGAUGCAUGAAAGGUUUCGUGAUAAUCAUGAAGACAUCGUGAAAGCUUUCUUUAAUAAUAAGGCUAAUAAUAUGAAAUAAUGAAUAACUAAUAAUAUAUAUUAUAGAAUUAUGAAUGGUUUCACUAAUGAAAAUGGUAUGAAAGAUUUUGCUAGUAUGGAAAGUUUAUGUUAAGGUAUCUGAAGAAAUAAUUAGAUAAUGGUAGUAUUAUGAAAGGUUUGGUUGAUGCAUUUUUUUCGUUUCCUAAAUUUCGUUUCCUAGGAUUUAGAAGAAAAUUAUUAACAACAUUCAUACUAUUAUGAAAGGUUUUGCUGUCUAAAAUGAUUGCAUUAUGAUUUUUUUUAAAGAAAGGUUUCGAUGAUAAAGAAGGUAAUAUUAUGAUAAAAAAUGGUUGCAUUAUUUUUUUUUCUGAUAAAGAGGGUAUAUCAAUGAAAGGUUUGAUAAAGAAAAUAAAGUAUGAAAGGUAUCCUAAUAAAAAUGGUAAUGCAUAAUGUCUUUGAUGAUAAAUAAGUACUAUAAUGAUUUUCCUACAAAAAGUAUGAAAGGUUAAAAUGAUAAGUAUGCCAGUAUAAAGUAUAAGGUUUCGAUAACAAAGUGGUAGUAUUAUGUAAUAUUUACUUUAUUGCUAGAAAUGGUUGAUAAUAAAUGGUAUUAUUACGAGGGGUUUCCAUUACAUAGAAUGGCUGAUGAAAGUAGUAGCUUGAAAGGUUUCGUUGAGAAGAAUGUUAAUGUCAUGAAAGAUUUUGAUGAUAAAAUUCGUAGUAUUAUGAAAGGGUUAGUUUACAAAAAUGGUAGCAUUAUGAAAAGUUUACUUCAUAGAAAUUGCGGUAUGAGAGGUUUUAUGAUAAACAUGGUAGCAUUAUGAAAAUUUCCCUAAUAAUAAGGGUAACGUAUUGAAAGGUCUCUUUGAUACAGAGGUACCAUUAAAAAUAAGUUGAUAAAAUGGUAAUACUAUGAAUGAUUUCUUUAAUAUAAACGGUAUCAUUAGGGAAGGUUUCACAUUGAUGAAAAUGAUACUGUUAAGUUACGAUUGGUUGAUACAAGAGACGGCAUGAAAGUUUUCGUUCAUAUGAAUAUAAGAAUUGAAAGGGUUAAUUGAUGAAAAUGGUAUAAAGAAAUGUUACAUUAUGAAAAGUGUAAAUAAGAUAAGCAAAAUUGUAUUAUCAAAGGUUUGGUUGCUGGAAAAGAUAGCAUGAAAGGUUUUAGUGGUAAAUGUGGUGGCAUGAAAGGUUUCGUUUUAAGAUGGUAUCUGAAGAUAUAUCUAGUAACGGAAAUGGUAAGGUGAAAGAUUUGGUUGAUAAAAAGGGUAUUAUGAAGAGUUUUGAUGAAUGAAAGGGUAACUUUAUGAAAGGUUUCGUUUAUAAAAAUGUAUUGUGAAAAUUUUUUGCUGAUAAAAUUGUAUAAUAUAAUAAGGUUUAGAUAAAAAAGUGGUAGUAUUAUGUAAUAUUUAAUUCAUUGAUAAAAAUGGUUAAUGAUAAAUGGCAUUAUUAGGAAGGGCUUCCUUUACAUAGAAUGGCAGAUGAAAAUAGUAGCUUGGAAGGUUUCGUUGAGAAGAAUGUUAGUGUCAUGAAAGAUUUUGAUGAUAAAAUUCGUAGUAUUAUGAAAGGUUUAGUUUACAAAAAUUGUAGCAUUAUGAAAAGUUUACUGCAUAGAAAUUGCGGUAUGAGAGGUUUUAUGAUAAACAUGGUAGCAUUAUGAAAUUUUCCCUAAUAAUAAGGGUAACGUAUUGAAAGGUCUUGUUGAUACAGAGGUACCAUUAAAAAUAAGUUGAUAAAAUGGUAAUACUAUGAAUGAUAUCUUUAAUAUAAACGGUAUCAUUAGGAAAGGUUUCACAUUAAUGAAAAUGAUACUGUUAAGUUACGAUUGGUUGAUACAAGAGACGGCAUGAAAGUUUUCGUUCAUAUGAAUAUAAGAAUUGAAAGGGUUAAUUGAUGAAAAUGGUAUAAAGAAAUGUUACAUUAUGAAAAGUGUAAAUAAGAUAAGCAAAAUUGUAUUAUUAAAGGUUUGGUUGCUGGAAAAGAUAGCAUGAAAGGUUUAAGUGGUAAAUUUGGUGGCAUGAAAGGUUUCGUUUUUAAGAUGGUAUCUGAAGAUAUAUCUAGUAACGGAAAUGGUAAUGUGAAAGAUUUGGUUGAUAAAAAGGGUAUUAUGAAUGGUUUUGAUGAAUGGAAGGGUAACUUUAUGAAAGGUUUGGUUUUUAAAAAUGUAUCGUGAAAAAAAUGUUGCUUAUAAAAUUGUAUAAUAUUAUAAAAGGUUUUGUUGACAUAUAUAAAGGCUUUAAUAAAAAUGUUAGUUUUACGAAAAAUCUUUCAUAAACCGUUGGUUUAUGAAAGGUUUGGGUAAUAGAAAUGGUAGCAGGAAAGGUUUCUUGAUAAUUAUGGUAACAUCAUGAAAGCUUCCCUUAAUAAAAAGAGUAACAGUAUUAAAGAUAAUUACUUUGGUAAAAUUAUGAAUGGUUUCACUAAUGAAGAUAAUAUGAAAGAUUUUGAUGAUAAAAAUGCGAGCAUGAAAGGUUUCGUUUAUACUGCGGGAUCUGAAGAAAUAAUUAGAUGGUGCAAAUAGUAGUAUUAUAAAAGGUUUGAUUGAUAAAAACGUGUUACAGAUUUUCGCUUCUAAAACUGGUAGUAAUUUGAAGAAAAUCAAUGACAAAAUUCACACCAGUAUGAAUGGUUUUGCUGACUAAAAUGGUUGCAUUAUGAAACUUUUUUUAAUGAAAAAUUUCGAUCAUGAAGGUGGCAAUAUUAUGAUUUUAUUGUUGAUAAAAACAAUUGCAUUAAAAAUGUUAAAGUAAUAAAAGGUUUAGAUGAUAAAAGUUAAAGCAUGAAAGGUGUGAUAAACAUGGUAAUAGGAAAAAAAAAAACAUUGAUGAUAAAAACUGAAUUAUGAAAGGUACAAGUAUGAAAGGUUUAACUGAUAAGUAUGCCCGUAUUAUGUAAGAUUUGACUGAUGAAAAUGGGAACAAUAUAAAAGGUUUCGAUAAUAAAAGUGGUAGUAUUAUGCAAUAUGAAGGAGGUGGUUCAUAGAAAUUGCAGCACGAAAAGUUUGUGAUAAACUUUGUAGCGUUAUGAAAGGUUUCCUUAAUAAUAAGGUUAACACAUUAAGAAGUGUCGUUGAUAUAGAGGUAGCAUUAAAAAAAAGUGAUGUUGCUAAAAUGGUAAUGAUUUCUUUUGUAUGAACGGUAUCCUUAUGAAAACAUUAAGUAUUUUUUUUCGAUACAAGAGACAGCAUGAAAGUUUUCAUUCGUAUGAAUAUAAAUAUUUUGAAAGGGUUCGGUGAUGAAAAUGGUAUGAAAAGUUUGCCUGUAAAAAAAGGAUAGAAUAUCAAAAGAGAAUCAUGAAAGGCUUGUUGCUGAAAACGAUAGCAUGAAAGGUUUUAUUAAUAUAAAUGGUAGCACUACGAAUGGUUUUCAUGGUAAAUAUGAUGGCAUGAAAGGUUUCUUUUAUAAAAAGUAUCUCCAGGUAUCUUAAAGUAUAUUUGGUAACGAAAAUAGUAAUGUUAUGAAAAGUUUAUAUGCUAAAAACGGUAUUAAGAAGUGUUUUAAUGAUAGAAAAUGGUAACUUUAUGAAAGGUUUGUAGAUGAAAAGAGGGUAUCAUGAAAAGUAAAAAUUGUAUUACUGUAAAUGGGCUCGUUAACAAACAGGAUGACAUUGAUGAAACUUUCGCUAAUAAAAAUUGUAGUAUUAUGAAAGGCCUCGGUAACAAAACAUAUUGCAUUAUGAAAGGUUUGGUUCAUAGAAAUGGUAGCAUGAAAGGCUUCUUGAUAAUCAUGGUAAUGUUAUGAAAGAUCUUGAUGAUACUGAUGAUUACUUUAAUAAUAAAUGUGGUAGAAGUAUGAAUGGUUUCGCUAAUGGAAAUGGUAUGAAAGAUUCUGAUAAACUGCUAGCAUGAAAGGGUUUCGUUUAUAAGGUAUAUUACGAAAUAAUUUGUAGUAUGUGAAAGCUUUGGUUGAUAAGGAGAGUAAGAUGAAAGGUUUUAUUGAUGAAAAUGGUAUGAAAAGUUUGGUUGAUAAAAUAUGGUAGUAUCAUGAAAAAUAUCCAUUAAAAAAAAAUAUUGAGAAAGGUCGAUGAAAAUUUUAGUAUUAAAAGUUUUAUUAACGAAAAUGGUAAGAUUAAGAAAGGUUUCGUCGAUGAAAAAUGGUAGUAAUAUGAAGAAUUUUAACGAUAAAAUCUGUUCUAUUACGUGAGAUUUGGUAUGAAUGAUAAACGUUUGGUUGAUAAAUAUGGCAAUUUUAAGAAAGGUUUUGCUGAUACAUAAGCACAAUGGUGGGUUAAGCUGACACAAAUAACAUGGAAGACAUCUUAAUAAACAUGGUAAUAUCAUGAAUGUUCUUCAAUGGAGAAAAUUAUACUAUUAUGUGUGUGUGUGUGUGUGUGUGUGUGUGUGUGUGUGUGUGUGUGUGUAUGUGUGUGUGUGUGUGUGUGUGUGUGUGUGUAAUUUUGAUAAGAAAAAAAAUAGAACUAUGACAAGUUUGAUUGGUAACAUUAUGGAAGUUCUCGAUAAUGAAAACGGUAUUAUGCAAAAUUUGGUUGAUGAAAGAGUUUUGCUGAUAUCAAGCUGUAAGAAAAAUGUAAUUACGCACAAGAGAGGUUGAUCAUAAUGGUAGGGUAUGAGGUUUGAUUAAUAAAAAGGGUAAUAUUAAAAUUAAAGUUUUUAGUGAUGCAAUUCGUAGUAGUAUGAAAGUAAUAUAAGGAAAUAUUUGGUUGAUUAAAAUGGUAAUAUUAUGUAAGGUUUGUUAUAUGAAAAUGCUAGCAUUAUGAAGGGUUUUGAUAUAAAUAGUAGUAUUGUGAAAUGUUUGUUUGAUGAAAAAGGAAACACUAUGACAGUGAUAGUACUACGAAUAUUUUGGUUGAUGAAACACGGUAAUAUUAUGACUAUUAUUCUAUAACAAAUUUAGUAUCAAGAAGGCUGAUCAAAAGGAUAGCAUAGAUUUCGUUAAUAGGCAUGGUUGUUUUAUGAAUGGUUUUGAGGAGUUAUAGUUAUGAAGAGCUUCGUUGACAAGACUUGCAGCAAUAUGAAAGGUUUCAUUGCGAAAAAUGGUUACAUUAUUAAAAGUUUAUUAAUAAAAAUGGUAGUAUUAUGAAAGGUUUUGUUUCUAAAAAAAGACGGAAUGAGUGUGAAUGAAUGUGUUAGUAUUAUGAAAGCUUUCGCUGAUGAAAGUGGUGUGAAAGGUUUUGAAUAAUAGCAUGAAAGGUUUUGGUUAUCAUAAGGUACCUUAAGGUAUUUGAUAACGAAAAUGGUAAUAUUAUGAUAGCUUUGGCCGAUAAAAAUGGUAGCGUGGAAGGUUCUAUUGAUGAGUGGUAGUAUGUAGAAAGACUUCACUGAUAAAAAAUGGCACCAUGAAAGAUUUAGAUGAUGAGAUGUGGUAGUAUUAGUCAAGGUUUCUGUAACAGGAAUGGUAGCAAUGAAGGUUUCACUCAUGAAAAUAAUAAGGUUGCAAAAGGUUUCGUCUAUAUAAAUGAAAGGUUUUGAUGAUAAAAUUCAUUCUAUAUUGAAAAGUUUCGUAAGAAUCAUGAAAGGUUUGGUUGAUAAAUAUGGACGUUUUCUGACAGGCUUCGGUGAUGAAGGUAAUAUUUACAAAGUUUGGUUGAUGAAAGCAGUAGCAUAAAAGAAUGAACUGAUAUAAAUGGUAGCAUAUGAGAUUUAUUCUGAAAAAAAUAUGUAACGUUUGCCUGAUAAAAAUGAAAGCAUUAUGAAAGGUUAUUAUGAAGGGUUUUGAUGAAUGAAAGGGUAACUUUAUGAAAGGUUUCAUUGAUAAAGAUGAAUCGUGAAAAAAAAAAAAAAUGCUGAUAAAAUUGUAUAAUAUUAUAAAGGGCUUCGUUGAUAAAUAUGAUGGCUUUCAUAAAAAGGUUAGUUUUACGAAAGAUCUUGGUAACAAAAAACGUUGGUUUAUGAAAGGUUUGGGUAAUAGAAAUGGUAGCAGGAAAAGUUUCUUGAUAAUUAUGGUAACAUCAUGAAAGCUUUCCUUA